AUCUUGCGCAAUGGGCGAAAGCCUGACGCAGCCAUGCCGCGUGAAUGAUGAAGGUCUUAGGAUUGUAAAAUUCUUUCACCGGGGAAGAUAAUGACGGUACCCGGAGAAGAAGCACCGGCUAACUUCGUGCCAGCAGCCGCGGUAAUACGAAGGGGGCUAGCGUUGCUCGGAAUUACUGGGCGUAAAGGGCGCGUAGGCGGACAGUUUAGUCAGGGGUGAAAGCCCAGGGCUCAACCCUGGAAUUGCCUUUGAUACUGGCUGUCUUGAGUGCGGGAGAGGUGUGUGGAACUCCGAGUGUAGAGGUGAAAUUCGUAGAUAUUCGGAAGAACACCAGUGGCGAAGGCGACACACUGGCCCGUUACUGACGCUGAGGCGCGAAAGCGUGGGGAGCAAACAGG
This 398-nucleotide ribosomal RNA is filed under the name uncultured bacterium. Its description in RNAcentral is "bacterial SSU rRNA". It matches the Rfam family "Bacterial small subunit ribosomal RNA", at positions 361 to 776 of the family's 1533-position model. The record is from RNAcentral.